CACGUAGGGGGCAAGCGUUGUCCGGAUUUAUUGGGCGUAAAGAGCUCGUAGGUGGUUCGGUAAGUCGGGUGUGAAACCUCCAGGCUCAACCUGGAGACGCCACCCGAUACUGCUGUGACUGGAGUCCGGUAGGGGAGCGUGGAAUUCUUGGUGUAGCGGUGAAAUGCGCAGAUAUCAGGAGGAACACCAGCGGCGAAGGCGGCGCUCUGGGCCGGUACUGACACUGAGGAGCGAAAGCGUGGGUAGCAAACAGG
Molecule: ribosomal RNA, 254 nt
Filed under: uncultured bacterium
Lineage: Bacteria
Description: partial 16S ribosomal RNA
Rfam family: Bacterial small subunit ribosomal RNA
Source: RNAcentral